RNAcentral lists this ribosomal RNA (253 nucleotides) under uncultured bacterium. RNAcentral describes it as "partial 16S ribosomal RNA". It matches the Rfam family "Bacterial small subunit ribosomal RNA", at positions 524 to 776 of the family's 1533-position model. The record is from RNAcentral.
UACAGAGGGGGCAAGCGUUGUUCGGAAUUACUGGGCGUAAAGGGCGCGUAGGCGGCCUGUUAAGUCGAACGUGAAAUCCCCGGGCUCAACCCGGGAACUGCGUCCGAUACUGGCAGGCUUGAAUCCGGGAGAGGGAUGCGGAAUUCCAGGUGUAGCGGUGAAAUGCGUAGAGAUCUGGAGGAACACCGAUGGCGAAGGCAGCCUUCUGGGCCAACACUGACGCUCAUGCACGAAAGCGUGGGGAGCAAACAGG